RNAcentral lists this ribosomal RNA (633 nucleotides) under uncultured eukaryote. Its description in RNAcentral is "bacterial SSU rRNA". It matches the Rfam family "Bacterial small subunit ribosomal RNA", at positions 42 to 703 of the family's 1533-position model. The record is from RNAcentral.
GUUUGCCUACACAUGCAAGUUGCACGGCGCCAUGCCUCUCGAGGAAUGGCGGAGUGGCGGACGGGUGAGGAACGCGUAAGGACCUGCCCCUGGGAGGGGGAUAACAGCUGGAAACGGCUGCUAAUACCCCAUAUCCUGAGGAGGGAAAGGAGAGAUCCGCCCAGGGAGGGGCUUGCGUCUGAUUAGCUAGUUGGGGGGGUAAUGGCCUCCCAAGGCAACGAUCAGUUGCUGGUCUGAGAGGAUGAUCAGCCACACUGGGACUGAGACACGGCCCAGACUCCUACGGGAGGCAGCAGUGAGGAAUCUUCCGCAAUGGGCGAAAGCCUGACGGGGCAAUGCCGCGUGGAGGAUGAAGGCCCAAUGGGUCGUAAACUUCUUUAGAUCAGAGACGAAGAGAUGACGGUACCUGAAGAACUAAGCAUCGGCUAAACCCCGUGCCAGCAGCCGCGGUAAGACGGGGGAUGCGAGCGUUAUCCGGAAUGAUUGGGCGUAAAGGGUCCGCAGGUGGCCCGGUCAGUCCGCUGUCAAAACCUGGGGCUCAACCCUGGACAGGCGGCGGAGACCACCGGGCUUGAGUCCGGUAGGGGCAGAAGGAAUUCCCGGUGGAGCGGUGAAAUGCGUAGAGGUCGGGAA